AUCCUGGCUCAGAACGAACGCUGGCGGCGUGGAUAAGACAUGCAAGUCGAACGAGAGAAUUGCUAGCUUGCUAAUAAUUCUCUAGUGGCGCACGGGUGAGUAACACGUGAGUAACCUGCCCCCGAGAGCGGGAUAGCCCUGGGAAACUGGGAUUAAUACCGCAUAGUAUCGAAAGAUUAAAGCAGCAAUGCGCUUGGGGAUGGGCUCGCGGCCUAUUAGUUAGUUGGUGAGGUAACGGCUCACCAAGGCGAUGACGGGUAGCCGGUCUGAGAGGAUGUCCGGCCACACUGGAACUGAGACACGGUCCAGACACCUACGGGUGGCAGCAGUCGAGAAUCAUUCACAAUGGGGGAAACCCUGAUGGUGCGACGCCGCGUGGGGGAAUGAAGGUCUUCGGAUUGUAAACCCCUGUCAUGUGGGAGCAAAUUAAAAAGAUAGUACCACAAGAGGAAGAGACGGCUAACUCUGUGCCAGCAGCCGCGGUAAUACAGAGGUCUCAAGCGUUGUUCGGAAUCACUGGGCGUAAAGCGUGCGUAGGCUGUUUCGUAAGUCGUGUGUGAAAGGCGCGGGCUCAACCCGCGGACGGCACAUGAUACUGCGAGACUAGAGUAAUGGAGGGGGAACCGGAAUUCUCGGUGUAGCAGUGAAAUGCGUAGAUAUCGAGAGGAACACUCGUGGCGAAGGCGGGUUCCUGGACAUUAACUGACGCUGAGGCACGAAGGCCAGGGGAGCGAAAGGGAUUAGAUACCCCUGUAGUCCUGGCAGUAAACGGUGCACGCUUGGUGUGCGGGGAAUCGACCCCCUGCGUGCCGGAGCUAACGCGUUAAGCGUGCCGCCUGGGGAGUACGGUCGCAAGAUUAAAACUCAAAGAAAUUGACGGGGACCCGCACAAGCGGUGGAGUAUGUGGCUUAAUUCGAUGCAACGCGAAGAACCUUACCUGGGCUUGACAUGUAAUGAACAACAUGUGAAAGCAUGCGACUCUUCGGAGGCGUUACACAGGUGCUGCAUGGCCGUCGUCAGCUCGUGUCGUGAGAUGUUUGGUUAAGUCCAGCAACGAGCGCAACCCCUGUUGCCAGUUACCAGCACGUGAAGGUGGGGACUCUGGCGAGACUGCCCAGAUCAACUGGGAGGAAGGUGGGGACGACGUCAGGUCAGUAUGGCCCUUAUGCCCAGGGCUGCACACGUACUACAAUGCCCAGUACAGAGGGGGCCGAAGCCGCGAGGCGGAGGAAAUCCUAAAAACUGGGCCCAGUUCGGACUGUAGGCUGCAACCCGCCUACACGAAGCCGGAAUCGCUAGUAAUGGCGCAUCAGCUACGGCGCCGUGAAUACGUUCCCGGGUCUUGCACUCACCGCCCGUCA
Molecule: ribosomal RNA, 1362 nt
Filed under: uncultured bacterium
Lineage: Bacteria
Description: 16S ribosomal RNA
Rfam family: Bacterial small subunit ribosomal RNA
Source: RNAcentral